RNAcentral lists this ribosomal RNA (446 nucleotides) under uncultured bacterium. Its description in RNAcentral is "partial 16S ribosomal RNA". It matches the Rfam family "Bacterial small subunit ribosomal RNA", at positions 338 to 795 of the family's 1533-position model. The record is from RNAcentral.
CCUACGGGCGGCUGCAGUCGAGAAUCAUUCACAAUGGGGGAAACCCUGAUGGUGCGACGCCGCGUGGGGGAAUGAAGUUCUUCGGAUUGUAAACCCCUGUCAUGUGGGAGCAAAUUAAAAAGAUAGUACCACAAGAGGAAGAGACGGCUAACUCUGUGCCAGCAGCCGCGGUAAUACAGAGGUCUCAAGCGUUGUUCGGAAUCACUGGGCGUAAAGCGUGCGUAGGCUGUUUCGUAAGUCGUGUGUGAAAGGCGCGGGCUCAACCCGCGGACGGCACAUGAUACUGCGAGACUAGAGUAAGGGAGGGGGAACCGGAAUUCUCGGUGUAGCAGUGAAAUGCGUAGAUAUCGAGAGGAACACUCGUGGCGAAGGCGGGUUCCUGGACAUUAACUGACGCUGAGGCACGAAGGCCAGGGGAGCGAAAGGGAUUAGAUACCCGUGUAGUC